Molecule: long non-coding RNA, 187 nt
Organism: Telopea speciosissima
Lineage: Eukaryota; Viridiplantae; Streptophyta; Magnoliopsida; Proteales; Proteaceae
Exons: 3
Source: RefSeq, a predicted model, not a curated record
GAAGAAGUCCUGAAAAGAGGAGACACAGUCAUCAUCAUCCUUAAUUCCUAAUUUCUGUUUUAUACUUUCUGUGUAAAGCUAAAAUCUUGUGGUUGUUGACAUAACUUAGAUUGAGCUGAACCUAAUAAAAUGCUUUUUAUCUUGUAAUCCUGAUUGCUGAUCUCUGGUUUAUUCAGGAAGAAUUAAU